This 69-nucleotide transfer RNA is filed under the name Boana heilprini (Los Bracitos treefrog). RNAcentral describes it as "Hypsiboas heilprini (Los Bracitos treefrog) tRNA-Val". It matches the Rfam family "tRNA". From Rfam's summary of the family: Transfer RNA (tRNA) molecules are approximately 80 nucleotides in length. Their secondary structure includes four short double-helical elements and three loops (D, anti-codon, and T loops). Lineage: Eukaryota; Metazoa; Chordata; Amphibia; Anura; Hylidae. The record is from RNAcentral.
CAAAAUGUAGCUUAAAUAAAGCAUCUCGCUUACACCGAGGAAAUGUCCGAUAACCCCAGACCAUUUUGA